UACGGAGGGGGCUAGCGUUGUUCGGAAUUACUGGGCGUAAAGGGCUCGUAGGCGGCCAACUAAGUCAUACGUGAAAUCCCUCAGCUUAACUGGGGAACUGCGUGUGAUACUGGAUGGCUUGGAUUUGGGAGAGGGAUGCGGAAUUCCAGGUGUAGCGGUGAAAUGCGUAGAUAUCUGGAGGAACACCGGUGGCGAAGGCGGGUCUCUGGGCCGAUACUGACGCUGAGGAGCGAAAGCGUGGGGAGCGAACAGG
This 253-nucleotide ribosomal RNA is filed under the name uncultured bacterium. RNAcentral describes it as "partial 16S ribosomal RNA". It matches the Rfam family "Bacterial small subunit ribosomal RNA", at positions 524 to 776 of the family's 1533-position model. The record is from RNAcentral.